Molecule: ribosomal RNA, 253 nt
Filed under: uncultured bacterium
Lineage: Bacteria
Description: partial 16S ribosomal RNA
Rfam family: Bacterial small subunit ribosomal RNA
Source: RNAcentral
UACGGAGGAUCCGAGCGUUAUCCGGAAUCAUUGGGUUUAAAGGGUCCGUAGGUGGGCCGGUCAGUCAGAGGUGAAAUCCUGCAGCUCAACUGUAGAACUGCCUUUGAUACUGCUGGCCUUGAAUCGUUGUGAAGUGGUUGGAAUAUGUAGUGUAGCGGUGAAAUGCAUAGAUAUUACAUAGAAUACCGAUUGCGAAGGCAGAUCACUAACAACGUAUUGACACUGAUGGACGAAAGCGUGGGGAGCGAACGGG